Molecule: ribosomal RNA, 253 nt
Filed under: uncultured bacterium
Lineage: Bacteria
Description: partial 16S ribosomal RNA
Rfam family: Bacterial small subunit ribosomal RNA
Source: RNAcentral
UACGUAGGGGGCAAGCGUUGUCCGGAUUUAUUGGGCGUAAAGAGCGUGUAGGCGGCCUGGUAGGUCAGCUGUGAAAACUCGAGGCUCAACCUCGAGACGUCGGUUGAAACCACCUGGCUAGAGUCCGGAAGAGGAGAGUGGAAUUCCCGGUGUAGCGGUGAAAUGCGCAGAUAUCAGGAAGAACACCUAUGGCGAAGGCAGCUCUCUGGGACGGUACUGACGCUGAGACGCGAAAGCGUGGGGAGCGAACAGG